Long non-coding RNA from Pteropus alecto (black flying fox), 915 nucleotides. RefSeq lists it as uncharacterized. Lineage: Eukaryota; Metazoa; Chordata; Mammalia; Chiroptera; Pteropodidae. The record is from RefSeq and is a predicted model, not a curated record. The transcript has 3 exons.
GCUGCUGGGGAUGCUGAGAGUAUGAGAUGGGGCUGAUCACCUGCAGAAGGGAGGACCACACACAUGGUCAAGGAAUGUCACUCCCCAGAGCAGCCGCAGGAAGCCACAGCUCACCAGGAGUUGCCAUGCCCUGGGGCCAUUUCCCAACACUCAGCACCGAUGGCAGACAUGGAGGCUGAAGGAAGUUAUACUCCAAGGGGAUUUGAUAGCACUUUCAGAGAAGAGAAAGGGGAGCAAGAAGGAGGAUGUUCUAAGAGAGGACCACGUAAGUACAUUAAGAGUGCUCCUGACGGGGGCCAAUGAGUGGGCGGUAGCAGUGGGAGGACUUGCUAAUGUUUGAGAAUCGGUGGAACGUGGGUCAGGUGGAAGGGGCAACAGUGAGCUGCUACUCACAACAGGUUUCCGCGACAAACUCUAACAUUUCUAGAGAAAGGUCUGUCAGUGGCAAAGGUUUGGACGAUGAAAGGUUUGGACAAUGAAAGGUUUGGAGGAUGAAAAAGCUGGGAUCAGGAAGAACAGGGAGAAGGAUGUGCCGGAGGUUCCAGGGAGCCAUCUUCGGGAAACAAACAUUUCACUAGAAUUGAGAGGACGUGACCACUAUUUGAUCUGAGAGCAGGACCCAGACAGAGGGUCGUCCCCUCUCUGGAAUGUACUUCUGCCCACUGUUCCCACACUAGCAGCCAUUCCAAGGAUGCAGCCUUGAGAGAGUAAGGUGUUGCCGAGACCAUUUGGACUGAAUAUGUGACUGAAUUUUUCACAUAUAAACUUUUAAGACGUUGAAGGGAGGGUGCAGAGAUUUGCUCAUCCUGCGGCUGUCCAGGACAGGCCUUGUACGUUCUCUUGCUUAUUAAACCUGCCACCUGCCAAUCUGGAGGAGUCUGCCUCUUCCCUCAGUCUGUCCUUUCUCUCUGCGUA